Molecule: ribosomal RNA, 507 nt
Filed under: uncultured bacterium
Lineage: Bacteria
Description: partial 16S ribosomal RNA
Rfam family: Bacterial small subunit ribosomal RNA
Source: RNAcentral
GACGAACGCUGGCGGCGUGCCUAAUACAUGCAAGUCGAACGCAUUUUCUGUCACCGUUGCUUGCUACACCGAUAGAAAAUGAGUGGCGAACGGGUGAGUAACACGUGGGUAACCUGCCCAUCACCGGGGGAUAACACUUGGAAAUAGGUGCUAAUACCUCAUAAUUCCAUUUACCGCAUGGUAGAUGGCUGAAAGGCGCUUUUGCGUCACUGAUGGAUGGACCCGCGGUGCUUUAGCUAGUUGGUGGGGUAACGGCCUACCACGGCUGCGAUGCAUAGCCGACCUGAAAGGGUGAUAGGACAAGCUGGGACUGAGACACGGCCCAGAAUACUGCGGGAGGGAGAAGUAGGGAAUCUUCGGCGAUGGAAGCAAGUCUGAACGAGCAACGACGGGUGAGUGAAGGAGGUAUUCGGAUCGUAAAACUCUGUUGUUAGAGAAGAAUAAGGAAGAGAGUCGAAAGUUCAUCCCUUGACGGUAUCUAAACAGAAAGCCACGGCUAACUACGUG